RNAcentral lists this ribosomal RNA (851 nucleotides) under Candidatus Omnitrophota bacterium. RNAcentral's name for it is "Candidatus Omnitrophica bacterium (sediment metagenome) partial 23S ribosomal RNA". It matches the Rfam family "Bacterial large subunit ribosomal RNA", at positions 2069 to 2925 of the family's 2925-position model. The record is from RNAcentral. Lineage: Bacteria; Pseudomonadati; Candidatus Omnitrophota.
CCCGCACCAAGACGAAAAGACCCCAGAACCUUUACUGCAGCUUGAUAUUGAGUUUGGAAAUUGUUUGUGUAGGAUAGGUGGGAGGCUGUGACGGUUCGGCGCUAGCCGGGCAAGAGCCAACGGUGAAAUACCACCCUAAUGAUUUUUAGAUUCUAACUUCGACCCCUGAAUCGGGGCGUAGAACAGUGUCAGGCGGGCAGUUUGCUUGGGGCGAGUCCCUUCUAAAAGAUAACGAAGGGGUCCAAAGGUUCCCUCAAGACGGUCGGCAACCGUCUUUAGAGUGCAUAGGCAUAAGGGAGCUUAACUGCGAGUCCGACAGGACGAGCAGAUGCGAAAGCAGGGCUAAGUGAUCCGGUGGUUGAAUGUGGGAUUGCCAUCGCUCAACGAACAAUAGGUACUCUGGGGAUAACAGGCUGAUCGCGCUCGAGAGUUCAUAUCGACAGCGCGGAUUGGCACCUCGAUGUCGGCUCAUCCUAUCCUGGGGCUGUAUAAGGUCNNNNNNNNNNNNNNNNNNNNNNNNNACGCGAGCUGGGUUUAGAACGUCGUGAGACAGUUCGGUCUCUAUCUGGUGUGGGCGUGCGAUACUUGAAGGGGAGAUCUCCUUAGUACGAGAGGACCGGGAGAUACAGACCUCUGGUGUUCCGGUUAUCCUGCCAAGGGUAAUGGCCGGGUAGCUACGUCUGGAAAGGAUAAGCGCUGAAUGCAUCUAAGCACGAAGCCCCCCCCAAGAUGAGGUAUCGUUUCUCUUCGGAGAUAAAGGUCCCUUGUAGACUACAAGGUUGAUAGGCUGCGUGUGUAAGAGCCGUAAGGCUUUAAGCUAAGCAGUACUAAUGGACCGAAUGCUUGACCUU